CCUGGCUUCGACGGGGGUACGGAGUAUGGAGUAGCCGGAGGUUGUCGCCAAACAACCUAAAAAGUGGCAACUUAAAUUAAACGCAGACGAAAAUUACGCAUUAGCUGCCUAAUAAAGGUAGCUCACUUACUCUAAUAGUCCCGCCUAUUAGAGAUUAAGUGUCAUUAUAAGCGGGGCCCUGCUUAAGGGAUUCUUUGACCUUAAGUUAGUAUAAUUAGAGAUAGUUCAUCAUUUAGCCUGUUGCUUGGCGAUUUGAUGGAUGAAAUUAAAGAAGCAACUGUUUCGGGAGAAACUCCAUAUGAAGUACCUUCGGACGUGGGUUCGAUUCA
RNAcentral lists this transfer-messenger RNA (329 nucleotides) under Senegalia massiliensis. It matches the Rfam family "transfer-messenger RNA". From Rfam's summary of the family: Bacterial tmRNA, also known as 10Sa RNA or SsrA, is named for its dual tRNA and mRNA-like properties. Its role is to liberate the mRNA from a stalled ribosome. To accomplish this part of the tmRNA is used as a reading frame that ends in a translation stop signal. The record is from Rfam by way of RNAcentral. Lineage: Bacteria; Bacillati; Bacillota; Clostridia; Eubacteriales; Clostridiaceae.